AUUGAACGCUGGCGGCAGGCUUAACACAUGCAAGUCGAGCGAGCGGCGGACGGGUGAGUAAUGUCUGGGAAACUGCCUGAUGGAGGGGGAUAACUACUGGAAACGGUAGCUAAUACCGCAUACCAUCAGAUGUGCCCAGAUGGGAUUAGCUAGUUGGUGGGGUAAUGGCUCACCCAGGCGACGAUCCCUAGCUGGUCUGAGAGGAUGACAAGCCAAACUGGAACGGGGAAACGGUCAGAACUCCUAGGGGGGGAAGAAGUGGGGAAUAUUGGAAAAUGGGCGAAAGCCUGAUGAGGCAAUGCCGCGUGUGUGAAGAAGGCCUUCGGGUUGUAAAGCACUUUCAGCGAGGAGGCGUUACUCGAAGAAGAAGAACCGGCUAACUCCGUGCCAGCAGCCGCGGUAAUAC
RNAcentral lists this ribosomal RNA (406 nucleotides) under uncultured bacterium. Its description in RNAcentral is "partial 16S ribosomal RNA". It matches the Rfam family "Bacterial small subunit ribosomal RNA", at positions 29 to 526 of the family's 1533-position model. The record is from RNAcentral.